This 414-nucleotide ribosomal RNA is filed under the name Triticum aestivum (bread wheat). RNAcentral's name for it is "partial small subunit ribosomal RNA". The record is from RNAcentral. Lineage: Eukaryota; Viridiplantae; Streptophyta; Magnoliopsida; Poales; Poaceae.
AUGGCCACCAUGGCGAGCAUGGCCGCGGAGGCUAUCGCCGAGAUCCGGCGCCGCAUAGUUGGUGCCGUCGAGCUGGUCCUGGAUCUUGAAGUAGUGGAGCUCAUCCAGCGAGUCCUCCGCCUCGUCGGCCUUCUUGCUCAGCUCCUCCAACAAGGCCUGCAGGGCGGUGACGUUGCUCACGUCCCUCCCCUCGGCCACUUGCAGCAGCCCUUGUGUGUGCAACAGUUUUGUUUUGAUCUGCUGGGAGUUGUGGCCGAGCUCAAGGCUGUGGACAUACGCGGCCACCAGGUCUUCAGACAGCUUCGUGAGCAACUUGCCAAGGAGCGAGCUCGCCGCGCCGACAGCCACCUCCAUCCGCACUCCGGUUCACCUUGUCGAGGAUUGGAGUGGUUGGGACUUGGGAAUUGGGAGUAA